CUGGUAACGGCCUCCACCGACGGGAUCGGCUUCGCCAUCGCCCGGCGUUUGGCCCAGGACGGGGCCCAUGUGGUCGUCAGCAGCCGGAAGCAGCAGAAUGUGGACCAGGCGGUGGCCACGCUGCAGGGGGAGGGGCUGAGCGUGACGGGCACCGUGUGCCAUGUGGGGAAGGCGGAGGACCGGGAGCGGCUGGUGGCCACGGUGAGCUGCAGGGAAAUGGGCACAGAGCCAGGAGGUGGAAAACGGAGCCAGCCUGAGCCUCCUUCCCUGCUUUCCUAGACAGCAGCACAUUUUUACUGUGUGCCUUUCUAUUAUGUCCAUAUACUAACGUCAGAGAAUCAUCCCAUCUCAGUCAGAGAAUUUUAAAACAUUCUAAUGCUUCAACCCUGCAUCAUCCCUUGAGUACCCCAAAGAAACAGCUGGUACUGGUUCUGCAGUAAUUUUCAAUCUAAUUGAACAGAUGUGAAGGGUAAAUACAAUCACAAAAUACAUGUUCCCACCCAUGAGUUAAUAAACAUUCCCCUCUUCUUC
Molecule: long non-coding RNA, 531 nt
Filed under: Homo sapiens (human)
Lineage: Eukaryota; Metazoa; Chordata; Mammalia; Primates; Hominidae
Description: HSALNT0208366
Source: RNAcentral